GGGCUCGUAGCUCAGUUGGCAGAGCGUCCGGCUCAUAACCGGAUGGUCGGGGGUUCGAUUCCUCCCGAGCCCA
Non-coding RNA from Thermosipho africanus TCF52B, 73 nucleotides. NCBI's taxonomy places the organism in Bacteria, Thermotogati, Thermotogota, Thermotogae, Thermotogales, Fervidobacteriaceae. The record is from Rfam.